This 624-nucleotide ribosomal RNA is filed under the name uncultured bacterium. Its description in RNAcentral is "bacterial SSU rRNA". It matches the Rfam family "Bacterial small subunit ribosomal RNA", at positions 103 to 707 of the family's 1533-position model. The record is from RNAcentral.
CGGGUGAGUAACACGUAGGUAAUCUACCUUUGGAUUGGGAAUAACAACCGGAAACGGUUGCUAAUACCGAAUAAUGCAGCGGCACCUAAUGGUGACAGUUGUUAAAGCGGGGGAUCGCAAGACCUCGCGUCUAAAGAGGAGCCUGCGGCGGAUUAGCUAGUUGGUAGGGUAAUGGCUUACCAAGGCGAUGAUCCGUAGCCGGCCUGAGAGGGCGGUCGGCCACACUGACACUGACAUACGGGUCAGACUCCUACGGGAGGCAGCAGUCGGGAAUUUUGGGCAAUGGGCGAAAGCCUGACCCAGCAACGCCGCGUGAAGGAUGAAAUCCUUCGGGAUGUAAACUUCGCAAGAACGGGAAGAAUAAGCCGGUGUCAACACCAUCGGCGAUGACGGUACUGUUUGUAAGCUCCGGCUAACUCCGUGCCAGCAGCCGCGGUAAUACGGGGGGAGCAAGCGUUGUUCGGAUUUACUGGGCGUAAAGGGCGGGUAGGCGGCCACCGCAAGUCAGUUGUGAAAUCUCCGGGCUUAACCCGGAAAGGUCAACUGAUACUGCGGGGCUAGAGUGCAGAAGGGGCAACUGGAAUUCUCGGUGUAGCGGUGAAAUGCGUAGAUAUCGAGAGGAAC